This 77-nucleotide transfer RNA is filed under the name Alkalibacter rhizosphaerae. RNAcentral's name for it is "Alkalibacter sp. ES005 tRNA-Arg". It matches the Rfam family "tRNA". From Rfam's summary of the family: Transfer RNA (tRNA) molecules are approximately 80 nucleotides in length. Their secondary structure includes four short double-helical elements and three loops (D, anti-codon, and T loops). The record is from RNAcentral. Lineage: Bacteria; Bacillati; Bacillota; Clostridia; Eubacteriales; Eubacteriaceae.
GUGCCCGUAGCUCAGCCGGAUAGAGUGCUUGACUACGAAUCAAGAGGUCGUGGGUUCGAAUCCCUCCGGGCACGCCA